RNAcentral lists this ribosomal RNA (506 nucleotides) under uncultured bacterium. Its description in RNAcentral is "partial 16S ribosomal RNA". It matches the Rfam family "Bacterial small subunit ribosomal RNA", at positions 28 to 523 of the family's 1533-position model. The record is from RNAcentral.
GAUGAACGCUAGCUACAGGCUUAACACAUGCAAGUCGAGGGGUGACGAGAGGAAAGCUUGCUUUCCUUGUCGACGACCGGCGCACGGGUGGGUAACGCGUAUCCAACCUGCCCCCAACUAGGGAAUAACCUUGCGAAAGUAAGACUAAUACCCUAUAAUUUCCUCAGAUGUCAUCUGACGAGGAAUAAAGAUUUAUCGGUUGUGGAUGGGGAUGCGUCUGAUUAGCUUGUUGGCGGGGUAACGGCCCACCAAGGCAACGAUCAGUAGGGGUUCUGAGAGGAAGGUCCCCCACAUUGGAACUGAGACACGGUCCAAAAUCCUACGGGAGGCAGCAGUGAGGAAUAUUGGUCAAUGGGCGGAAGCCUGAACCAGCCAAGUAGCGUGCAGGAUGACGGCCCUAUGGGUUGUAAACUGCUUUUAUACAGGAAUAAAGUUAGCCACGUGUGGUUAUUUGUAGGUACUGUAUGAAUAAGGACCGGCUAAUUCCGUGCCAGCCGCCGCGGUAA